Molecule: ribosomal RNA, 252 nt
Filed under: uncultured bacterium
Lineage: Bacteria
Description: partial 16S ribosomal RNA
Rfam family: Bacterial small subunit ribosomal RNA
Source: RNAcentral
UACAGAGGGGGCGAGCGUUGUUCGGAUUUACUGGGCGUAAAGGGUGCGUAGGUGGCGGGGUAAGUCUGGUGUGAAAGCUCCGAGCUCAACUCGGAAAAGCAUUGGAAACUAUCCCGCUUGAGGGUCGGAGGGGAGACUGGAAUUCUCGGUGUAGCAGUGAAAUGCGUAGAUAUCGAGAGGAACACCAGUGGCGAAGGCGAGUCUCUGGACGACUCCUGACACUGAGGCACGAAAGCUAGGGGAGCAAACAGG